CCCUUAGAUGUUCUGGGCCGCACGCGCGCUACACUGACGAUGGCAACGAGUUUUUCCUUCGCCGAAAGGUGUGGGUAAUCUUUUGAAACAUCGUCGUGCUGGGGAUAGAUCAUUGCAAUUUUUGAUCUUGAACGAGGAAUUCCUAGUAAGCGCGAGUCAUCAGCUCGCGUUGAUUACGUCCCUGCCCUUUGUACACACCGCCCGUCGCUACUACCGAUUGAAUGUUUUAGUGAGGCAUUUGGACCGACGCAUCUCAGUUUAACCGCUGGUUUGUGUUGGAAAGACUUCCAAACUUGAGCGUUUAGAGGAAGUAAAAGUCGUAACA
This 325-nucleotide ribosomal RNA is filed under the name uncultured eukaryote. Its description in RNAcentral is "partial 18S ribosomal RNA". It matches the Rfam family "Eukaryotic small subunit ribosomal RNA", at positions 1470 to 1796 of the family's 1831-position model. The record is from RNAcentral.